Molecule: ribosomal RNA, 690 nt
Filed under: uncultured archaeon
Lineage: Archaea
Description: bacterial SSU rRNA
Rfam family: Archaeal small subunit ribosomal RNA
Source: RNAcentral
CCAACAGACCGUGAUAACCUCGGGAAACUGAGGCUAAUAACGGAUAGUGCUCCCGAGCUGGAAUGCUGGGAGCGCGAAAGCUCCGGCGCUGUUGGAUGUGGCUGCGGCCGAUUAGGUAGACGGUGGGGUAACGGCCCACCGUGCCGAUAAUCGGUACGGGUUGUGAGAGCAAGAGCCCGGAGACGGACUCUGAGACAAGAGUCCGGGCCCUACGGGGCGCAGCAGGCGCGAAACCUUUACACUGUACGCAAGUACGAUAGGGGGACACCNGAGUGCGAGGGCAUAGAGCCCUCGCUUUUGUACACCGUAAGGUGGUGCACGAAUAAGGGCUGGGCAAGACCGGUGCCAGCCGCCGCGGUAACACCGGCAGCCCAAGUGAUGGCCGCUAUUAUUGAGCCUAAAGCGUCCGUAGCUGGCCGUUCAGGUCCGUCGGGAAAUCCACUGGCUUAACCAGUGGGCGUCCGGCGGAAACCGUUCGGCUUGGAACAGGGAGACCAGAGGGGUACGUCCGGGGUAGGAGUGAAAUCCCGUAAUCCUGGACGGACCAUCGGUGGCGAAAGCGCCUCUGGAGAACUGAUUCGACAGUGAGGGACGAAAGCUGGGGUCUCGAACCGGAUUAGAUACCCGGGUAGUCCCAGCCGUAAACGAUGCUCGCUAGGUGGUGUCGCAGGCUACGAGCCUGCGAUGUGC